RNAcentral lists this long non-coding RNA (2418 nucleotides) under Homo sapiens (human). Its description in RNAcentral is "non-protein coding lnc-HDAC4-1:1". The record is from RNAcentral. Lineage: Eukaryota; Metazoa; Chordata; Mammalia; Primates; Hominidae.
AACGUUCCAUCUGGCCGGGUGGGCAUAGAAGGGGGUGGAGGGAGCGCCUGGGUAUUGUCAGGUGAGGAAGGUCAGAGGGAGCCGUCCACCCACGUGGCCAGCGAAACGGAGCGUGGGAGGAGGCCCACGAACACCUGAGAUCAAAACCCACAGGGCACGUGAGAAGAUCCCAAUUCCAGGGCGCGAACGAAGUCCAGGAGCUUCAAAAUUGGCCCGCAUCAUGAAAACAUCCGGCAGACGAUUGAAGACUCACUCUUGAUGCAGACGCUGACCCGAGGAAGGAAAAGGGUGAGAAACAGCUAGGCAGACACAGCAGAGCGGGAAAGAGGCCGACGCCGACGGAAUGCAGGAGGCUUGGGGGUCGGGCCCAGGAGAUCUGAUCUGAGAGUAACAAGUUACAGGAGCGCGGAAAAUCACAGAUGGAGGAAGGGCAGUCAUUACAUAUCGGAACUCUCCCCUGAGUUGGGGGACGCCUGCAGAGUAGGCAUGGAAGGGCUCACGGAGUUCUAGGUUCAGCUGAUGAGAAAAGAUGCCCUCUGUGCUAUGUCAUGGUAACAGCCUCCGAACUCUGCAUACACACUGUAUUCUUCCCUUUGUGUGACACUCCAGAAACAACAAAUUGCAUCCAUAGUGAUGGAAAUCAGACCAGUCGUUGUCAGGGGCCACCGAGUUGACUGGGAUAGUGAUGGAAAUUUUAAUGAAUACAUAGAUGUAUAAACAUGUCAAAACAUGUACUUUUUAAAAUGGAUCCAUUUUAUUGUAUACAAAUUUUACUAAAUAAAAUGGAAUGGAAAAUUAUAAGUGCUGUACUUUCUGCAUUGAGGAAAAAGAAAAGUCAACCAUUUUUCAGUCAAAAGGAAUAUGUUACCUAAAAAAGCAAAACAAUCAGAAUGGUCUCAGGCUUCUCAUCUACAACACUGCAAGCUAAAAGCAGUGGAAGAGCAAAAGACUGCACCCCAGGAACCCCUGUUCUCAAUAAAGAGAUUGUCGAAGUGUUAGGAGCAGAAGGUAUUUGAAGAUACAUAAAACCUCAGUGAGUUUAUCACCUAAGUGCCUCAUCUAGGAAAGCACUGGAGAAACAGUUCUAAUGAAAUGGCAAACCCAGAAACGACAUAGCAGAGACCUCCGGAUGAAGGAGGAUGGAGAGGAAGGACGCAGUGGCAUGAGGAAGCUUCAUCUACUCGGAGGCAUCCCGAGGGGCUCAGCCGUUCGGAGCAGCGGAGGGGCACAAACGCUGCAGGGUGGCUGGGUGUGGUCUUCACAGGGGACGGCAGAAGCAUAAGAGAAACUGAGGCUGCGGUGUGAGUAGGAACCUGGCUGCAGUGAGUUAUGGGUUGAGAGAGACAGUGAGUGUGUGUUUGGUGCACAUAAGUAAUUGUCUUUUUUUUUUUUUUUUGUCUCACUCUGCCACCCAGGUUGGAGUGCAAUGGUGCAAUCUCGGUUCACUGCAACCUCCACCUCCCGGGUUCAAGCAAUUCUUCCUGUCUCAGCCUCCUGAGUAGCUGGGAUUACAGGUGCUCACCACCAUGCCCAGCUAAUUUUUUUUUUUUCAGUAGCGACAGGGUUUCAAAUCCUCUUAAGGGCACAUUGAUAAGUCUGGUUGAAAAUAGGAUUUGAUUCAUCCAAAGCAGGAAGAAGUGACUGCUAUGAAGGUGAAGGCACAGCCAUGAAAGAUUGAUCAUUCUGCAACUCAGGAGGGUCUGUCUAGGGCCCAGGAGCCCGUGUUUUCCUUAUUAACCAAAAAUAAUUAAGAAAGGCGAUGAUUCCGUCUGCACCCUGAGCUCUGCACGUUGAUUUGGUGAUGAACGGAGCACCAUUGCCAUGAGGACAAUUGCCAGUCCUUUCCCGACUGGAAGAUGGCAACAGCCCUGCCCCAUUUCCCCGCCGUAUUUAUACUGGACUUUAGAGAACUGUGAAAGCCCAUCUGGAAAACACUCAAGGCAGGUGAGUGCCCCUCACAAACCCUGUGGAGAACACCAUCCUUCCCUCCACCAUCAUCACCAGCAACAAACGUUUGCUCAACCCACGGUGUGCAAGGCAGAGGGCCCGGUGCUGCAGGGACAGAAAGAGGAAUGAGGGACAAAUGAACAUGAUGGAAGGGAAGGGAAGGAUGUCUGUGUUCUCCAGGGAUUUGCCAUCCACCUGGGUGCUGGUCUGAUGUCCCUGAGUCACUGAAGCAAUGCCAGCAGCAUUUUUAUGGGCAGAAAGAUCAAUGCCCGUAAAUAGCAGGGCAUCCUCCCUGUCAAAUAAAGGUGACCUAAGAUUCUACCAGUUCGGGCUGAGCUCUGAGUCACCUAUUUAUUCAAGUUAUAAUUACUGAGCUCCACUGCAGAGGCUGCUGGACACACCCCUAUUUCCUAGAAAUGGAACUCUUUCUAGCACCGUGCAUGGCUGACUGGAAUAAAACUAUACCUCCCA